Molecule: ribosomal RNA, 473 nt
Filed under: uncultured bacterium
Lineage: Bacteria
Description: bacterial SSU rRNA
Rfam family: Bacterial small subunit ribosomal RNA
Source: RNAcentral
UAGGGAAUUUUGGGCAAUGGGCGAAAGCCUGACCCAGCAACGCCGCGUGUGGGAUGAAGGCCCUCGGGUCGUAAACCACUGUCAGGAGGAAAGAAAAGUCGGCCGGAUAAUACUCGGUCGACCUGACGGUACCUCCAAAGGAAGCACCGGCUAACUCCGUGCCAGCAGCCGCGGUAAUACGGAGGGUGCAAGCGUUGUUCGGAAUUACUGGGCGUAAAGCGCGUGUAGGUGGUCGAGUAAGUCGAAUGUGAAAGCCCCGGGCUCAACCCGGGAAGUGCAUCCGAAACUGCUCGACUAGAGUCCCGGAGAGGAAGGCAGAAUUCCCAAUGUAGGGGUGAAAUCCGUAGAUAUUGGGAGGAAUACCGGUGGCGAAGGCGGCCUUCUGGACGGUGACUGACACUCAGACGCGAAAGCGUGGGGAGCAAACAGGAUUAGAUACCCUAGUAGUCCCUGAGCGGGCUGGCAAGGCGCAU